CAAGUAUAUUCCAAGAAUAUUCCACGGUAGAUUGUGCGCCAAAAUAGAAUAGCUUAGAAUCCAAGCAAAAGCAGCAAAAGGUGCUCUGGAGGGUGGCACGGCCGUGCCAAGGCUAGCACGGGCCGUGCCAGGCUUCUGACUUAUGGGAGACAUAAUUUGUCUCUCAAUCUUUAUAUUUUUGUGUCCAAUUCGCUCCAAACCCCUUUCUUUUGCUCCAAGAUUCAAUCCAUCCAAUAUUCUUCCCUGAAAUAUAAUAAAUUGCAAUUUAAAGUAAACUAUCCUAAAAAGGAAAUAAUACUAAUAUAAAAAUAUAUAAAAUCUAAAUAAAACUAAAAUAAAAAGCAUAUUAAAAUAAACAAUAAAUGACUCAUCAAACUCCCCCACACUUGAAUCUUUGCUUGUCCUCAAGAAAAAGGCAUAAACAUAGUAGCAUCAAUAGUUAAUUCAAAUGACAAUUCAAUUAAAGCACAUGUCUCCUCAAGGGCUUAAAUCCCAAAUGUACACUAAUCACAAACUUAAGCAUUUCUUGAAAUCUUUAUUCAACCCAACGAUCAAGUUUCAAGUGAGUGUGUGUAUGAAGUCCAACCCUUUUCUUGCUCCUGUAUAAGAUAGGUAUUAUGAGGAAACAUGGUCUAAUCCUAGCACUAAACUAACCAAGAAAGAUUCCUUCUACAAUUCAUAUAAGAGAG
This 689-nucleotide long non-coding RNA is filed under the name Medicago truncatula (barrel medic). RNAcentral's name for it is "long non-coding RNA (MTRU_LNC000482)". The record is from RNAcentral. Lineage: Eukaryota; Viridiplantae; Streptophyta; Magnoliopsida; Fabales; Fabaceae.